AACGAACGCUGGCGGCAUGCCUAACACAUGCAAGUCGAACGCUUGCAGAAAUGCAAGAGUGGCGGACGGGUGAGGAACGCGUGGGAACCUGCCCCUCAGUAAGGAAUAACACCGGGAAACUGGUGCUAAUACCUUAUAUUGCUCGAAGAUCGCAAACGAUCUCCGAGUGAAAGAUCUAUCGCUGAGGGAGGGGCCCGCGUCCGAUUAGCUAGUUGGUAGGGUAAAGGCCUACCAAGGCGACGAUCCAUAGCUGGUCUGAGAGGACGAUCAGCCACACUGGGAUUGAGACACGGCCCAGACUCCUACGGGAGGCAGCAGUGGGGAAUAUUGGACAAUGGGCGAAAGCCUGAUCCAGCAAUACCGCGUGUGUGAAGAAGGCCUGAGGGUUGUAAAGCACUUUCAAUUGGGAGGAAAAAAGGUAAGUUUAAUACGCUUACCCUUGACAUUACCUUUAGAAGAAGCACCGGCUAACUCCGUGCCAGCAGCCGCGGUAAUACGGAGGGUGCGAGCGUUAAUCGGAAUUACUGGGCGUAAAGCGUGCGUAGGCGGCCUGUUAAGUCAGAUGUGAAAGCCCUGGGCUCAACCUGGGAACGGCAUUUGAAACUGGCAAGCUAGAGUUAGGUAGAGGGAAGUGGAAUUUCAGGUGUAGCGGUGAAAUGCGUAGAUAUCUGAAGGAACACCAGUGGCGAAGGCGGCUUCCUGGACCCAAACUGACGCUGAGGUACGAAAGCGUGGGUAGCAAACAGGAUUAGAUACCCUGGUAGUCCACGCCGUAAACGAUGUCGACUAGCCGUUGGGCUCUUAUAGAGUUUAGUGGCGCAGCUAACGCAUUAAGUCGACCGCCUGGGGAGUACGGCCGCAAGGUUAAAACUCAAAUGAAUUGACGGGGGCCCGCACAAGCGGUGGAGCAUGUGGUUUAAUUCGAUGCAACGCGAAGAACCUUACCUACCCUUGACAUCCAGAGAAUCUGUUAGAGAUAGUAGAGUGCCUUCGGGAGCUCUGAGACAGGUGCUGCAUGGCUGUCGUCAGCUCGUGUCGUGAGAUGUUGGGUUAAGU
RNAcentral lists this ribosomal RNA (1056 nucleotides) under uncultured bacterium. RNAcentral's name for it is "bacterial SSU rRNA". It matches the Rfam family "Bacterial small subunit ribosomal RNA", at positions 28 to 1085 of the family's 1533-position model. The record is from RNAcentral.